Molecule: long non-coding RNA, 424 nt
Filed under: Mus spretus (western wild mouse)
Lineage: Eukaryota; Metazoa; Chordata; Mammalia; Rodentia; Muridae
Description: RIKEN cDNA 4930512P04 gene (ENSMSPG00010032517.1)
Source: RNAcentral
AAAGCUUUGUGGAUUAUCUUGGAAAGAGAUCCUCUAUGCCUGGUCAAGCCUUGAGCUGACAGCAAACUUUAUGAGACCUUCAGCUAGGAAUACCCAGCUUAGCCACAUUACUGGGAUGGGGCUGUAGCUGGUUCUUUUGGAGUGCUUUUCCUGUAAGCAUAGGGCUGGGGAUUCUAUCACCAACAAUCAGUGAACCCAGCAUAGAAGUGGAUGCCUAGAUCCUGGCAUGAAGGAGAAUCAGGAAUUCAAGGACAAAUCUGAGAGCAGCCUGGGUGUGGGUGGAUUCUUCAGGCCACUGAACAUCAGGCUAUUUAUUACAUGGCCUAAGUAACUAGUAGACAAGGUAAAGGAGAAAGCAGGGGGCACACAUGUGAGGGUUACUGUAGCUUUUCUGUAAAUUUCAAAAUAAAAUGUUAAAAAUAAA